This is an RNA transcript of Brassica napus (rape), 2814 nucleotides long. It is a transcript of the gene named WAT1-related protein At1g25270-like, with no coding region annotated. Lineage: Eukaryota; Viridiplantae; Streptophyta; Magnoliopsida; Brassicales; Brassicaceae. The transcript has 10 exons. The record is from RefSeq and is a predicted model, not a curated record.
CUUUUAAGGUUUUACCCUUAACAAUUUUGCUACUUCUUUUUUGGUGCAACAACUUUGCUACUUUGUUCACCAGUUUCCGUAAACAAGCACUUGAAUUUCACAUUUUCUUAUAUCAUUUUUUUUUCAUGGUCUCUAAAACUGAAGUGGAGCACAAUGAAAAAGGUAUAGUGGUAUUUCAAAGACGAAGGUAACUUGGCAGAUUAAAAAGCUGAUCAAUGGGAUUUAUUAUAGCAGCACCGGAUUGUUAAUGGUUUGAGUGGGCAUCAAAGUAAAAUAUAGAAAAAUUUAGGGUGAACUGGAGAAAUGUUGGAAGAAGUGAAGGCUGCAAUUGCAAUGCUGGUGGUCCAGUUUAUUUUCGCAGGAAUGUUCAUUUUGUUUAAGAUAACGGCCCACGAUGGUACAAAUCUCAGAAUCCUAGUGGCUUAUCGUCUCUCCUUCGCUACCCUUUUCAUGUUUCCCCUCGCCCUCAUCUUCCAAAGGAAGAAGCGACCGGAAUUUACACGAAGAUUGGUCUUAUUAGCAUUUCUUUCGGGGUUGCUUGGAGCGGCUAUACCAAAUAUUCUCUAUUUGCCGGGCCUGGUUCGUACAUCAGCUACAUUUUCGACUGCAGCCAGUAUCCUUAGUCCGGUGAUCACUUUGGUAUUGUCAUUGGCUUUUAGGAUGGAUACUCUACGGCUGGGAUCAAACGAAGGGAGAGCUAAGCUUCUGGGUACACUUCUUGGUGUUGGUGGGGCUCUCGUCUUUGUAUUCUAUAAAGGUUUUGAGCUUCAUAUUUGGUCAACACACGUUGACUUACUUAAAAGCUCUGGUCAAUCCUCUGGCCCUGCCACUGAGAACCACCACCACAUCUCAAUUUCAGGGGUUCUUAUGGUUUUUGGCUGUAACGUUUCGGUCUCUCUUUGGUUACUAUUGCAGGCAAAAAUAAGCAAGGAAUUUGGAGGACAUUGUUGGAACAUAAGUCUGAUGAAUGCGACGGGAAGCUUGGUGUGUAUGGUUGUUGCUCUCUGUUCGGAACAUAACUGGAAUCAAUGGCGAUUAGGGUGGAACAUUAGUCUGCUUACUACGGUUUAUUCGGGAGUCGUUGUUUCAGGGCUAGUCAUGCCUCUUGUUGCUUGGUGCAUUGAAAAAAAGGGACCGUUAUAUGUUACGGUGUUUAGCCCUAUAAGGCUGGUGAUCGUUGCCCUAGUCGGAUCAUUUGCGUUAGAGGAAACGCUUUAUUUGGGAAGUUUAAUUGGUGCAAUAAUAAUGGUGGGAGGAGUAUACCUAGUGGUGUGGUGUAAAAUGAAGGAAAAGAAGAGUGUCUCUACGACAACGGACCACGUUGAGACAAAUAAGAAUAUCAAAGAACUUGGGCUCCCAUCCAAAUGACAUUGCCUUCUUGAACUCUCAAUACCCGACCUAUACCACGUUGUCUUCCUUCCUUAGGCCAGACCACGUCCACGUUACAUUUUAAAACAGUUUGGUGGUAGUUUUUUUUUUUGUAAGAUACAGUUUGGUGGUAGUUGCUUCCAUUUUAUAUUAUCUGUUCUGCAAGGUUAAUUAUUUGUUUUUGUAUACCCCUUCUGAAUCAAAAUGUAUAAUAUUUUAGGUAGAACACACAAAAGUAAAAAGUUACUUUUACCUAAAAAGCAUCACUAAAAAUAUGAAUUAAAAAUAAUUCAAUGCAUUAUAAAAUACACUAUGAAAUAUAAUUGGCUGUACAAUUUUCAAUAAAAUUAGAAGUUAUCUAAAAAGUUGAAAACAUCUCGUAUUUUUUAACAUAAAACAUUCUUAAACAUCUUGAUCAUUUGCUUCUGAUCUUUUCACCCACUCCUCUUGAUCCUCCUUGCCUUCCUUAAAGUUUCAUCUUGUAUAGGAUUGUUUAUCUCUCUUUAAGUGAAUCUGAAUAUGUUAUUCAUUGGCGUAGGUGUAUCAAUUGUCUGUGGGUUAACCAAGCGCUCGUAGCUUGGUGGUAAAGGAGGUACAGCUGUACUGCCCGCCACCCGGAUUCGAGUCUUGGCCACAACGGAUUUAACAUCCCUUCCGUUGGGGCGCUGGACCCCUUUCGGGGGGAUAGUUGGGAAUGUGGCUGCCCAGAUACCAGAGUUAUCAAAAAAAAUUGUCCGUGGGUUGAUCGUUACCUGUAACUAGAAGUCCAAACUAAAAAGAGCAGUAGCUAAAAUUUUUGCUAAAAUAUUUCAACGUAACGUGUACAUGUGAGAAUGUGUACGGAAAAACACUAGGAGAGAAUCAUGACACGUGCAAAUAAACUAUCGGUCAAACCUGGCAACGGGGACAUUUUUAUAUAUACCCACAUACAAAAGAGAAACUAGAAAAGAGAGAAGAAAUUGAGAGAGAGAGAACGAUGAAGACACAAGUGACUAUAGUAGCGGCUCUUAUGAUUCUGGUGGCUUUGUCUUCCACCUUGGAUAUGGUGAAGGUAACGGAGGCUCAAGUAAACUGCAUCGACAGUUGCACCACCGGCUGCGUCAAGCCCACCCCAAAAGAGACGAUCCGAUGCCACCACGAAUGCGACAAAAAGUGCAGCCGAGGUGGUAAAGGAGGAAGUGAGACUGGCGCUUAAACUUUGUUUUCACUAAGAUCCACAAAGAUACAAUUGUGUUGUAAUCUUAUCUUUAUAAUCCUCUCUUUCUAAAACGUACUAUGCAUAUUGUAAGUUGUAACCAAUAAAUCAAGUGGUUGUAGUUCAUCGUUGUGUUAAAAUGGUAAAGGAUUUGUCCCAUGGAUCAAAUCCUCCCACCAACUGUGGACCUCCUUGUUGGCUUUCUAUAUAGUCUAUGUAAACGCUUUAAAGGAAAAUUAUUCAGUUUUCUA